This 177-nucleotide unclassified non-coding RNA is filed under the name uncultured Acremonium. RNAcentral describes it as "sequence contains ITS1". The record is from RNAcentral. Lineage: Eukaryota; Fungi; Ascomycota.
CCGAGUUGCAAAACUCCCAAACCCACUGUGAACCUAUACCACUGUUGCUUCGGCGGAUACGCCCCGGGCGCACCCCCUCCAGGGGGUUGUGCCCCGGAACCAGGCGCCCGCCGGGGGACCGAAACCUCUGUAUUUACCGUUUGAGUACUCUGAGUGUGAUUUACAAAAUCAAAAUUA